This 115-nucleotide ribosomal RNA is filed under the name Escherichia coli. Its description in RNAcentral is "partial 23S ribosomal RNA". The stretch from base 1 to 102 matches the Rfam family "Bacterial large subunit ribosomal RNA", at positions 2824 to 2925 of the family's 2925-position model. The record is from RNAcentral. Lineage: Bacteria; Pseudomonadati; Pseudomonadota; Gammaproteobacteria; Enterobacterales; Enterobacteriaceae.
GUCCUGAAGGAACGUUGAAGACGASGACGKUGAUAGGCCGGGUGUGUAAGCGCAGCGAUGCGUUGAGCUAACCGGUACUAAUGAACCGUGAGGCUUAACCUUACAACGCCGAAGC